GACAUACUCCCUCUGUCCCAAAAUUCUCAUCUUAGAUUUGUCUAAAUACGGAUGUAUCAAGUCACGUUUUAGUAUUAGAUACAUCCAUAUCUAGACUAAUUUAAGACACAAAUUUUGGGAUGGAGGGAUUAUAUA
Triticum aestivum (bread wheat) is the source of this 135-nucleotide non-coding RNA. The record is from Rfam. Lineage: Eukaryota; Viridiplantae; Streptophyta; Magnoliopsida; Poales; Poaceae.